This 492-nucleotide ribosomal RNA is filed under the name uncultured bacterium. Its description in RNAcentral is "partial 16S ribosomal RNA". It matches the Rfam family "Bacterial small subunit ribosomal RNA", at positions 29 to 507 of the family's 1533-position model. The record is from RNAcentral.
AGUGAACGCUGGCGGCAGGCCUAACACAUGCAAGUCGAACGGCAGCACAGUAAGAGCUUGCUCUUACGGGUGGCGAGUGGCGGACGGGUGAGGAAUACAUCGGAAUCUACUUUUUCGUGGGGGAUAACGUAGGGAAACUUACGCUAAUACCGCAUACGACCUACGGGUGAAAGUAGGGGAUCUUCGGACCUUGCGCGAUUGAAUGAGCCGAUGUCGGAUCAGCUAGUUGGCGGGGUAAAGGCCCACCAAGGCGACGAUCCGUAGCUGGUCUGAGAGGAUGAUCAGCCACACUGGAACUGAGACACGGUCCAGACUCCUACGGGAGGCAGCAGUGGGGAAUAUUGGACAAUGGGCGCAAGCCUGAUCCAGCCAUACCGCGUGGGUGAAGAAGGCCUUCGGGUUGUAAAGCCCUUUUGUUGGGAAAGAAAAGCAGCAGGUUAAUACCCCGCUGUUCUGACGGUACCCAAAGAAUAAGCACCGGCUAACUUCGUG